AUUGAACGUUGGCGGCAGGCCUAACACAUGCAAGUCGAGCGGAUGAGUGGAGCUUGCUCCAUGAUUCAGCGGCGGACGGGUGAGUAAUGCCUAGGAAUCUGCCUGGUAGUGGGGGACAACGUUUCGAAAGGAACGUUAAUACCGCAUACGUCCUACGGGAGAAAGUGGGGGAUCUUCGGACCUCACGCUAUCAGAUGAGCCUAGGUCGGAUUAGCUAGUUGGUGAGGUAAAGGCUCACCAAGGCGACGAUCCGUAACUGGUCUGAGAGGAUGAUCAGUCACACUGGAACUGAGACACGGUCCAGACUCCUACGGGAGGCAGCAGUGGGGAAUAUUGGACAAUGGGCGAAAGCCUGAUCCAGCCAUGCCGCGUGUGUGAAGAAGGUCUUCGGAUUGUAAAGCACUUUAAGUUGGGAGGAAGGGCAGUAAGUUAAUACCUUGCUGUUUUGACGUUACCGACAGAAUAAGCACCGGCUAACUUCGUGCCAGCAGCCGCGGUAAUACGAAGGGUGCAAGCGUUAAUCGGAAUUACUGGGCGUAAAGCGCGCGUAGGUGGUUCGUUAAGUUGGAUGUGAAAGCCCCGGGCUCAACCUGGGAACUGCAUCCAAAACUGGCGAGCUAGAGUAUGGCAGAGGGUGGUGGAAUUUCCUGUGUAGCGGUGAAAUGCGUAGAUAUAGGAAGGAACACCAGUGGCGAAGGCGACCACCUGGGUUAAUACUGACACUGAGGUGCGAAAGCGUGGGGAGCAAACAGG
Molecule: ribosomal RNA, 753 nt
Filed under: uncultured Pseudomonas sp.
Lineage: Bacteria; Pseudomonadati; Pseudomonadota; Gammaproteobacteria; Pseudomonadales; Pseudomonadaceae
Description: bacterial SSU rRNA
Rfam family: Bacterial small subunit ribosomal RNA
Source: RNAcentral